Molecule: long non-coding RNA, 966 nt
Filed under: Homo sapiens (human)
Lineage: Eukaryota; Metazoa; Chordata; Mammalia; Primates; Hominidae
Description: HSALNT0281342
Source: RNAcentral
AAUUGCUCCUGUUUUUGCAUCGAUUCUGCGCAGCGUGGAAAAGCGAGUCGUCAACUUGCUUGUGGGUGUAUUGACCACCAGGUCCCUCCUCAGCUUUCACCUUCCAGGCCUCGCCCACUCUAUUUUAGAGCCAGGAGCUGGGAACAGCACCUGUUUUUCGUCUCUAAGGAUGGGGUGGGCAUUUUGACGGCGCCCUCUUUCAACCAACCCACGCUAAGGUGUCUGUGUUUCUGCGUUUUCAAGCUCCCCCCAGCCGCCCCGCGCCCCCCGCAUCCCCAUCUCCGUGGCUGAGGGCCUAGGGAGGAGGGAAAAUCCAUCCUCAGACACACUAGAUCCUCAGCGAGACCUGCUGUGGAGAGCAUCAAACGGACCGCACGCGGACCCACCUGCCUUCCAAAGUUUGGGGCGUGAGGAAGCUGAGGCACGUGGCGUUUGGUUAUGGCACAGCUGAGGGGUCUGCAGGAGACCCCAGAAAAUGCCGCUGAGGACGGAUUCACCGACGUCAUCAAAAGCCGCGCUGCUGCCUGAGCCCGCUCCUUUCGCCUUUGGACACGCAGCAAAUUGUGGACGUUAAAAUCACAGGACCAUUCAAGAUUUCUUUAUGUACAUUGCUGGAUGCUGAAGAGGACAGAGGAACAAUGCUUUUGACUGAUUAUGGUUGAUGUACGUGACUUCAACAAUCAUAAUCUGACAGCCACCGUUCAGCUACUAUUUGAGGCCUGAAGAAAGGAGAAGAAACCACCAAUUGUAUCUCUUUCAGACUCCCUUCAGCAGACUGCUGCCUAUGUCUCAUGGCAAGAACUGCUAUGCUAUGUGGCCAUCCUUAGCUGUAAGAGAUGCUGAGAUUGUGAAUAUUUACUUCUUACAGUCUCUGUAUGAAUUUCUGUGAAGGACAAGAUAAUUUAGGAAAUUGAAAUGGUGUUAGUAUAGCCAGUCAUCCAAAUUUGUUUACUUUGUUGCUUCUUA